GUGGUGGCUCAGUGGCAGAGUGCUUGCCUCACACAUGUGAGGCACUGGGUUCAAUCCUCAGCACCACA
RNAcentral lists this transfer RNA (68 nucleotides) under Marmota monax (woodchuck). RNAcentral describes it as "tRNA.Val". The record is from RNAcentral. Lineage: Eukaryota; Metazoa; Chordata; Mammalia; Rodentia; Sciuridae.